Molecule: long non-coding RNA, 3307 nt
Filed under: Phoenix dactylifera (date palm)
Lineage: Eukaryota; Viridiplantae; Streptophyta; Magnoliopsida; Arecales; Arecaceae
Description: long non-coding RNA (PDAC_LNC004921)
Source: RNAcentral
CAUUCUCUAGAAGGAAAAGAGUACAAAGGCAAAGCUCUUUGCUUAUACGUUACAAGUAUGUGCAUAAUAAGUACCAAUCUGGAUAAUUAUCUGAUAGACACAGGAUAUGCUAACUGUGAUCAUCUACAUCGCUUCCAUCAUUAUGCUGGCCAAAUGAUUGUCGAGGUAUGCUAUGAUGAUUGUUCGUGUCAUCAUUGACACUUUGCACACUGCCUUGUUCUUGACUUGGUUGCACUAAGGAUGAGCCCCCAUGGUUUUCUUCUCCGCCUGUCAACCGUCGAUGAGCCGCACUAACGGUUUCAGCCAAGAAUAUCGUUAGCAGCAGAGCUAAGACCUUCAUGUUUAAACCUUUUUGCUUCAUCAAAGGAAAAGUCGAGGUCAAAUGGUAAAGAUGAAGCAAGAGCAAAGGAUAGGAGAUGGGAUAUUGAACGUAGUUAGGGAAGCUUUGCUUAGGUAUGUUGAGUAGGGUUUUGUCCUGAAGACUUGUAACCUUGAGGGAUAUAUAAAGCUACUACUUAUAGGUGCGAUGAGAGGUCAACUAGUUGUAUGGACUAGAAAAUUCUUCUUGUGGGGAUUCCACCAAAGUCAUAUCAAAAUGGUGGGUAGUUACAUAUUACCAAUCAAAUAUAUUAAAUUAGCAAUAAUUGAUGGUGCAAGGAAGAUCUUGCGAUAGGCAUUAAGCCUACCAAAUCGUUGAGCACCAACUUGCCAUGAUGGGGCCCAUUACAGGCCAAUCGCUUCCGGAUAUCUUUAUCUUUCUUAUUGCGGUACGGGCAUAAAGGGGCUAUGAGAAAGCAAUAUUCCACCAAGAGAAUAGGAUCGAAUGGCUAUUGGUUGGAUCGGGUCCUCCACCACUUAGCUGGUGGACUAGUCCAAUCAUAGAGCGACACAUGCGCGGAUGGACAAACCAAAAUUAGCGCGCUUCCAUCCGUGUCGCUUCGUGGUUGGAUGGGUCCAUCAACUGAGUGGUGGAGCUGUUCCAACUAAAAAUUUAUACCAAGGGUAGGCUGCAAAGAUCCUCUCAUUUAAUACGGCUAUCAUCUUCCAAUGCUGUUUAUUUUUCUCCUUUAAUUGGUAGAGAAGAAUAUAGUUAGGUAAUACUAGAUGCUUGGAGCCAAUAAAAAUAUUAGUAGAACCACCAAAACAGUUUCUGUUACUAUUAUAUCUGUGAUUGUUUCAGUUGUGCUUCUUCUUUCCACUGAUGAUAUGUAGCUCGCAAAGGCAGCAUGUAAAUGAAAUCUACACAUGAUUCCAUCUGUAAGGAGAAAUGAACCAAGUCAUACGAACUAAUAAACCUUCUGGUCGUCUUGUACAAAGAAGAAAUAUUUCACCACAGUAGUGUCGGGAAAUACCAGGAAGUUGGGCUACAUCUCGGUUGAAGUUGUAAUUUCAAUUACACUACCGAUGUUUGAUUCCAUGAGUUUACAGUAACGAUAAACCUGUAAAUGAAAACUGUAAUUGUAUUUGGUUGUACUACUAAAACAAUAUAUAUCCACCAACUAGUCCUUGUUAAGAUUUAAACCUGUAAUAAAGAUGUCUUUAAAGCCUUUUCCAUUUGCAGUGGUUUGUCUUAACGCCAAUUUGGCCAUAGGACAAAAUAAUGUAAAAGGAUCCAGAAUGCAGUUUGACUUACAGGAUUCUUGUCAACUUAAAACAAUCCAGACACUGGAAAAUGUCACCUUUGCAGCUGAGAUUUAUGUACACCUAGUUGCAGAUAUCUAAACACUACCUAAAAGUUUUUUUUUAAAACUAGAAAGAUCAAUUGGUUGGAAAGUACUCCAGUGAGCCAAUAUGCCGGUUAACAAGAGCAGGCAUGAAGAAGGGGACCGCAAGACAUCUAUAUCUAUUUAUAAUGGAAUUCAUGCAACACAAAGGGCAACUUAUACACCCCUGUAGAUAAAAUAUCUAAGACAGUAAUAUAGGGCAAUCAACUGAAAACGCAUCAAUCGCCAAAGUCCAACUGUAAGCGUUUUUGAAUUGUUAUUUGUAUAAACUUGUGAAAGCCAUCUGCUAGUUUCUUUCAUGUUAUGAAAGCAUAAUAUUAUCAUCGAAGUUUUGGUAUAGACAUUUCUAUAAUGAUAUUUCCAUUUUUAUCUCCCUCGGCUCUAAAUUCUUCAUUAGCUUAGACGGCCUUUGACAUAAACCGAUUUCGCAUUUGUGAUCUGACUGGAAUGAUUAGCCUUCUAUCUUGUAGCCAGCAAUGUUAGCCAAGCAGCCCAGGCAAAUAAGUAUCAUCCAAUUAAACAUAUCAAAAAAGGAUCAUUUUAAGUUUCAAUAUGGGUUAUACUUGAUAUUAGGUCAGAGGUGGUAGACUUCUUUUUCUUCUUUUUCUAUUUAAUAUUUAAAAAUGAGACCACCUCCACCCCCCAACACACACACAAAAAAAAAACAAAAAAAGGAAGUCCAACCCCAGCACAUAUGCACCCCAUAUCAUGUAGUUCUCAAGUGAUACGCUGCUUCCAAACAAAAUGUACAGAACUAGAAUUGUGAAUGGGAAAAUAAGAUUUAAAAAUUUUAUCAAACCAUCACCAAAAUUUUUUUACGAGACAAACAAACAAGAAUGCACUUGAACUGCACAUGAAAAUACUAAACAUGUUUCCAGUUCUAUAAUCCAAAAUUGUGAUCGCACAUUUAUAUCCAUCUACCACUUGUGUUGGCUAAUUUUAGAGCCAUCUGGAUCUUUGAUUUGAAAGAAGGCCAUUACAUAUCUUAUUAGACAUUCAGAAGUUACUGAUUAAUUACAUAAUUUAUUGGCAUGUAAAGCCUGAGCAUAUGAGGUUGUAGCUGGCUACGUACUAUAAUAAUACAAACCGACGUCCAAACAUAUAUUCCACACCCUCUAGCUAUUAAAAUAUCACAUAGAGAUCAAUUAAUUAUUUGUCCCCGCCUCCAUUCCCUUCGUUAUUUCCAUCAACUCCUGCUGGAGGAUUAUUGUAAUCAGGUCUAGGUAUGCUAUGAUGGUUAUCAAUCGUGAUCCCUGAGGACCCAAGAGUGCUUUUUGCCUUGGCAAUAUCUUCUCCAUAGGUUUGAUCCAUAAGGGCCAUGUCACGCAUGGUUGAAGUUUUGGUCAUCAUGGUCAUAUGAAGAAGAAGAAGAAGAGCUAUUAACUUCAUCUUUGAUUUCGAUCGGUUGCUGUUUGACGUUGUCAAUACAUACAAUUUAGCAACAAUAAACAUGUAAAUCAGUUCUAUAUAGGAGUAUAGUCAACAGUAACCAAUCAAAGAUGAAGAAAAAGAUAAAUAUAUAAGAAUUACACACCUAGAAAACGCUUUGCAGAUUUGAGGGUCGAUUUAUGCUAGAAAUUAAG